UACGUAGGGACCAAGCGUUGUUCGGAUUUACUGGGCGUAAAGGGCGCGUAGGCGGUCAGCACAAGUCAGUUGUGAAAUCUCCGGGCUUAACUCGGAAAGGUCAACUGAUACUGUGCGACUAGAGUGCGGAAGGGGCAACUGGAAUUCUCGGUGUAGCGGUGAAAUGCGUAGAUAUGUGGAGGAACACCGAUGGCGAAGGCAGCCCCCUGGGUCAAAACUGACGCUCAUGCACGAAAGCGUGGGGAGCAAACAGG
Molecule: ribosomal RNA, 254 nt
Filed under: uncultured prokaryote
Description: partial 16S ribosomal RNA
Rfam family: Bacterial small subunit ribosomal RNA
Source: RNAcentral